This 1243-nucleotide ribosomal RNA is filed under the name metagenome. RNAcentral's name for it is "bacterial LSU rRNA". It matches the Rfam family "Bacterial large subunit ribosomal RNA", at positions 1564 to 2815 of the family's 2925-position model. The record is from RNAcentral.
UGAAUACGAGAUGCUACGGCAUCGAAGCAGUCUAUGUCAUACUUCCAAGAAAAGCUUGCACUGUCAUAAACAAAUAAUGCCUGUACCAUAACCGACACAGGUGGGUAGGUAGAGUAUACUAAGGGGCGCGAGAUAACUCUCUCUAAGGAACUCGGCAAAAUGACUCCGUAACUUCGGGAGAAGGAGUGCCUUAUUUUAUAAGGUUGCAAUAACAAGAUCCAAGCAACUGUUUACCAAAAACACAGGUCUCCGCUAAGUCGUAAGACGAUGUAUGGGGGCUGACGCCUGCCCAGUGCCAGAAGGUUAAAGAAGUUGGUUAGCAUUAGCGAAGCUGAUAACUGAAGCCCUGGUGAACGGCGGCCGUAACAAUAACGGUCCUAAGGUAGCGAAAUUCCUUGUCGGGUAAGUUCCGACCCGCACGAAAGGCGUAAUGAUUUGGAUACUGUCUCGGAGAGGGGCUCGGUGAAAUAGACUUGUCUGUGAAGAUGCGGACUACCUGCACCAGGACAGAAAGACCCUAUGAAGCUUUACUGUAACUUGAGAUUGAAAUUGGACUUUAUUUGCGCAGUAUAGGUGGGAGACGUUGAAAAUAUUCUUGCGGGAAUAUUGGAGUCAUCAGUGAGAUACCACUCUUAUAAUGUUAGAUUUCUAACUUUGUAUCAUUAUCUGGUCAAAGAACAGUCUCGGGCGGGCAGUUUGACUGGGGCGGUCGCCUCCCAAACGGUAACGGAGGCGCACAAAGGUUUCCUCUGAACGUGUAGAAAUCGUAUCUAGAGUGUAAAGGCAUAAGGAAGCUUGACUGUGAGACCUACAAGUCGAGCAGGGACGAAAGUCGGUCUUAGUGAUCUGACGGUGCUGAGUGGAAAGGCCGUCACUCAACGGAUAAAAGUUACUCUAAGGAUAACAGGCUGAUCUCCCCCAAGAGUUCACAUCGACGGGGAGGUUUGGCACCUCGAUGUCGGCUCAUCGCAUCCUGGGGCGGUAGUACGUCCCAAGGGUUGGGCUGUUCGCCCAUGAAAGCGGUACGCGAGCUGGGUUCAGAACGUCGUGAGACAGUUCGGUCCAUAUCCGGUGUAGGCGUUAGAAUAUUGAGAGGAGCCUUCUUUAGUACGAGAGGACCGAGAAGGACAUACCUCUGGUGUACCAGUUAUCGUGCCAACGGUAAACGCUGGGUAGCUAUGUAUGGAGAGGAUAACCGCUGAAAGCAUCUAAGUGGGAAGCCCACCUCAAGAUAAGUAUUCUC